Molecule: ribosomal RNA, 778 nt
Filed under: uncultured Neocallimastigales
Lineage: Eukaryota; Fungi; Neocallimastigomycota; Neocallimastigomycetes; Neocallimastigales
Description: partial large subunit ribosomal RNA
Rfam family: Eukaryotic large subunit ribosomal RNA
Source: RNAcentral
GCAUCUGUGCAUGCAGCAUAUCAAUAAGCGGAGGAAAAGAAACUAACAAGGAUUCCCCUAGUAACGGCGAGUGAAGCGGGAAGAGCUCAAAUUUGAAAUCUUAAAGGGUUUCCCUUUACGAAUUGUAGUUUAAAGAAGUGUUUUCUGUUGAGGUUUUUGGUAAAAGUUCUUUGGAAUAGGACAUCAUAGAGGGUGAGAAUCCCGUAUUUGACCUUUACUUUCAACUUUGUGAUACACUUUCAAAGAGUCGGAUUGUUUGGGAAUGCAGUCCAAAAUGGGUGGUAAAUUUCAUCUAAAGCUAAAUAUUGGCGAGAGACCGAUAGCGAACAAGUACCGUGAGGGAAAGAUGAAAAGAACUUUGAAAAGAGAGUUAAACAGUACGUGAAAUUGUCAAAAGGGAAGCGUUUGACACCAGUGUUGUUUUUCUGAAAAUCAAUUAAAGAACUGUUUAUGCUAAGCUGUUUAGACUUUAUCAGCUAACUGUUUAGUCUUGAGCUUUUCUUUAAAUGCACUUUUCAGUUAACAAGUCAACAUCAAUUUCUUUUGCUGUAAAAAAAGCUUGAGGAAGGUGGCUUGAGAUUCGUCUUAAGUGUUUAUAGCCUCUUGCCUAUGCAGUCGGAGAGAUUGAGGUCUGCAGCGUAGAUCCUUCGGGGCUAAAUGCAUUUGUGCUAAGUUUGUAGCUUUUUAUAGACAACUUGUUGACUAUGAUUAGUCUUGUAGUUUACUCGCUUAUGUUAUUUUUACCUACGCUUAGGAUGUUGAGCGCAUGUCUCUCUCU